Lagopus muta (rock ptarmigan) is the source of this 4508-nucleotide long non-coding RNA. RefSeq lists it as uncharacterized. The transcript is spliced from 3 exons. The record is from RefSeq and is a predicted model, not a curated record. NCBI's taxonomy places the organism in Eukaryota, Metazoa, Chordata, Aves, Galliformes, Phasianidae.
AGUAAGAAAAAAGAAAAAAGUAAAAAGAAACUAAAAGGCUGAAAGUUGAGAAGACACAAAGAGACAGUUUGAUACCAUAUUAAACACUGAACACUGCCUCUUAUAUUGCAGAAAACCCUCUUAAAAACAAAUAAACAAGCAAACAAAACCACAGCAAAACAGCUCAAUUAAAAAAAAAAAAAGAGAUGAAUAUUAAAGUUGACGAAAAUCACGUUCACAUGAGAAAAACAGAAAAUUCUGGAAAGUAAAUGAAAAGUAAAUCUCCAGAUCAAAUAGCUCAAGAGGCAAGUUGCUAAUAAAAAAUACUUUCACACACAUCCAAAACAUUAUGCCUACUUGAAACUUAGUGCAACUUCAAAUGAAAAAGUGAAGAGGCAGAAGAAUUACUCAACAGAAGUAAGGCCAUAGGAAAAUUAUUGCAUGAUUACAGCUUGAUAAUAAGGUCAGGGAGCCCCAUGUCAUAGGUUAAGAACAAACUCAAACUGAAGAGGCUUAGGGACAAAUAGGUAAGAAAAAUAGGGGAUGACAACAAUAAAAUAAGUCUGAAGUGACUCAAGGGAAAACUGCUCAUUGCUAGUUCAGUUGCUGCAUUCAGUGCUGGAGCAAUAGUCAAUGGCCAGUAAAACUUCAGACUCCAAUAAGGCUCCAGGCCAGCGCUGAAAUCUACGGAGCAAUAAAUCUAACAUUUUUAUCUUGUAAAAUCAGAAGAAGAAACUGUAAAAGCAACUAUACUGAGUAAAAUUCCACAUGCAUUUUUUUCCUGAGGAAGUCACGCCUCAUGAAUCUAGUGGAGAUGUCUGUAAGGAUUUUACAAGUUUGGUAGGAGCCAUUGAGUCCCUCAAAGGCAGAGGGGCCUUACAGAGAGAUCAUGACAAACCAGGGGGCUGGGCAACAACCAACAACAUGAAGUUUAAUAAGAGCGAUUGCUGAAUUCUGCACUUAGGUCAGCGCAAUCCUGGGUACAUUUACAGUUUAGAGGAUGAGAGACUGGACAGCAACCCCACAGAGAGAGGUCUGGUGGCCUGGGUGACAGCGAGGUGAAUGUGAGCCAGCAGUGUGCCCUGGCAGCCUGAAGGCCAACUGUGCCCUGGGGUGCAGCAGGCUCAGCACUGCCACCAGGCAAGGGAGGGGCUGUUCCGCUCUGCUCUAUGCGGCCUCAGCUCCAGCACUGGGUAGACUUUGGAGUGCCACAGUACAGGAAGGACAUAAAACUACUAGAGAGUGUCCAAAGAAGGCCUAUGAAAGUAGUGAAGGGUCUAAAAGUCAAGAUGUAUGAGGAGCAGCUGAGGUCCCUGGGUUUGCUCAGCCUAGAGCAGAGAAGCUGAGGGGAGCUGCCAUGGCGGCUGCUCCUCACAGGGAGCAGAAGGCAGUGCUGAGCUCUGCUCUGUGUGACAGCGACAGGGCCCGAGGGAAUGGCAUGGAGCUGGUCAGGGGACGGGCAGCUGGGGCUCAGGGGAAUGGUCUGCACCAGAGGUUGGUUGGGUGGGAGCGUGGAGCAGGCUGCCCAGGGCAGGGGGUGCAGCCUCAACUGCUAGAGCUGAAGGAGUGCCUAGACAGCAUUCUCAGUCACUGGAUUUGAAUUUUGGGUGGUGCUGUGUGGAGCCAGGAGUUGGACUUGAUGAUCCUUGUGGGUCCAACCCAGGGAUAUUCUAUGGUUCUGUGAUUCUUUGUGGGUAAGGGUGAGACAAAUGGAAAGUUUUGCCAGAAGUUUUUGCAGAAUUCUAAGGAGUAACAGGGAAAGAUCCUCUCUACUUCAAGUCAGAAAGUGGGAAAAAGACAUACAUAAUUGUAGUGGAAAUGCUGAGUCAUGGCUUGAAACAGUGAUUGAGCACCUGGUGGGAAGGCAGGGCCAGCCCAGAGGAGCUCAGGUGUAUGCAAUGCAGCUGAGUGACCAGAAGGGGUGCAGCCGGGAUCCACCCCUUCCCGACAUUCAAGGAUUCAUAGUGGAAGCAAGAGUAUCUUGCUGGAGAUUCUUGUAUGCCUGAGCUUUUCUGGGGUGUGCUCGAUGUAAGGACCCGUCAGACAGGAGAAACAUUUCCACAGGCUGCAGUUCGUGUAACCCACCACAGGGGGACAGCUGAUAUACGUCUCUGAAAAAGAGCUGGGCAGAAAAUGUCAGGCUGAGGAGUUCGCAUGGAAACCAUUACAUGCCAUUGUGCAGAGAUUGGGCUCCUACGGACUUGCGCUUUUCUGAGGCAGUGAGUUUGGCUGCUGUGGACCGAAGCUCAAAACCACCUUUCACCUGUGGGCUCCUCAUGGGGCCAGGACCCCAGCAGUGGCUUUGGUGGUUGUUCUACAUAGUCCCAUGUGCAGAUCAGGGCUGUAAUAUCUAUCUCAGGGGAUUUGUGAACACUCACUGAAGCAGCUGCUGAAGUAAGGUCUGGUAUGUGCACUGCGUGAGAAAGGUCUGUGAGUUUGCAGCUGAAAUCUGUAGUAUUCUGCAUGAGCACGAAAGGACCAAGUGAAGAUUCAAAAUGUGAUUUUUAUUUUUGGCACCUCCUAGUUCUGUAUGUGUGACUGCUCUCAAGCAAAUGUCUGUUAAAGCAGUUAAUUAAAUGCAAAGGACUUCAGAGAUUUCAAUAAUAUCCAGGCUUCUCUUCUUUUCCCUUGUGAAUUAAUUUGAAAUUAGAAUGUCUGAUGUUUAUCUGUCAUUAGGGCAUCAGUGAGCUCCUCUAUGUAGCCAUUCAGCCACUCAUCUCUGAAUGUGGGGGUUCACGCUCCUGGGCAUCUCCCUUUACACCAGCUGGCUUAAGCAACCCCUGUGCUGUGAGACCUCAUGUGGAGUCCUCAGUGCAGGAGAAAUGUGGGCCUGUUGGAAUACAUCCAGAGGAGGGACACACAAAUGAUCCAAGGGAUCAUUUGAGGACAGGCUGAGAGAGCUGGGGCUGUGCAGCCUGUGGGAGAGAGGGCUCUGAGGAGAUCUGAGGGUGGCUGUUUGGUAUCUAAAAUGGGGCUAUAAGAAAGAAGGUGACAGACUCUUUAUCAGGAUCUGCUGUGAGAGGACAAGGGGAAAUGGUUUCAAAUAAAAGGAGGGGAGACUUUGGAUAUAAGGAAGGUGUUUGUUAAUAAGAAUGGUGAGGCACUGAAACAGGUUGCCCAGAGAGGUGAUGGAAACCUUAUCAUUGGAGAUGUUCAAGGUCAGGCUGGAUGGGGCUCUGUGCACCUGUUGUAGGUAUCUCUGCUUAUUGCAGAGGAGUUAAACUAGGUGGCUUUUAAGGGCCCCUUCCAACUCAAACAAUCCUAUGGUUUUAUUCUAUGACUCUUACCUAGGACUCUAAGCAUGAGCCCUGUAACUCUCUGAUCACAGUCAGAAUUGGGUACCAUCUCUGAUACAGACACCCCUUGGUGGAACUUUCACAACAGCUGAGGAUGGGUGGUCUUCUAUAAACAGUUUUAUGAAGAUCUUGGUUCCUUGGGUGCUUUUGUGGCUUUGCAUGAAAAGCCUGGGGCUACAGGUGCCUCACUGCAGGGGACGCCCAGCAGUCACUAACUGAGCACCACUCCUUUUCAGUAGUUCUCUGCCAUGCUUUUGUAUUACAUGUUUCCACAGGCUUGGAAUAGGGUCUCUGCUAAUGGCAAGAUAAGGGAAGGGAGAAGGCAAGGCAAGAAGUUCUUGGUCACAUCAAGCAAAAUAAAUCAAGUACAAGGACUCAAGAUUAUCUGGAGGAUUAAUAUCCUUACACCCUCAGAGGGUGGAGUUAGAUACCAUAGGGUUUAAUAAUGCAAUAGAAGUGACAGGCAGAAUCAGUUCUGCCUUGGUGAACUGGAAAGGGCAAUGUAUCAGAAAUUCUAGUUCAAUAUCAACAUUUACAAAAAAAAAAAAGAGAGAGAGAAAGCCCUGUUGCCUUUAGCAGUAAUUGCUGCUACUUAUCACACCAUGACCUGGUGACUUCCAUUCAUAACAGUUCAGUGAGGGAGGAAAAUCUGUCUGUCCAUGCUGCUGCUUGGCUGUAGGAGCAGCAUCCCAAGGCUGGUUACUGGGUCUGCACAGCUGCAGCUGUGACCCACAGCCAUAGUGGGGUCACUAGGGUGAGAACACAAGUCUGUUAGCUGCUGGCUCAGCACUAAGAUGCUUACAGCAGUUAUAUAUGAGCAUGAGCCUGGCAUGCCUCAAUCCAAUCAAGGUUUACUCAGCCACCACGUGCUCUGCUUUCUGCUGUGAGAACACUGUGCUUGCACAGACUGCAGGCUUCAGAAUAGCCUCCUCCAGCCUUCCUAUCCCCUUGGCAACCAAAUUUUAUUUAUUUCUAUUUAUUUGCAGGAUUGAAAACUAUUGCGUAUUUCUCUGGGCUGUGAGUAACCCUGAACACAAGAACCAGGAAUAACUCCUUUGGUUCGCUGUCAAGGCUUGACAGUCACUACUUUUAUCUUGUUGAAGUACAUUUGCUACAUCUGCAUGUUCAGUCAUGCAGCUUGGACUGCCAGGUACUGAUGCCAACCAGUGGCCAAGGCUACAGCACUGGACAAAGUAACCAGCUGAGAUAGAAAUAAAAAAAACUGAAGUUACC